RNAcentral lists this long non-coding RNA (343 nucleotides) under Oryza brachyantha (malo sina). RNAcentral describes it as "long non-coding RNA (OBRA_LNC003161)". Lineage: Eukaryota; Viridiplantae; Streptophyta; Magnoliopsida; Poales; Poaceae. The record is from RNAcentral.
AGCAUGGUGCAACAACGAGCUUUCCUGCACACACACAUUAAUUUCUCCAUAUAUCUUGACAUGCUUUGUGUUUCAUGGGCUACACAAAAAGCCAACAAAUUGUAGGCUUGAGAGUAAUCAAGAAUUAGUGUUACAUGGACAUGCUUGGUGGAUGAUGUACAUAGAUAUCAACAAGAAGGAACGACCCUUUAAGCUCAGGAUUAACCAUCAACGCCGCAUGGAGAACUUAGCAGAAUACUAUUCUUAAAUAUCUUGCCCUGCGAGCCUGCUCCCCGUCUUCUAUGUUGUGGCCUGCAAGAGCUGGAAAUCGUUUGAUGGUGUCGUCUCCGACACAUAAUGUACC